GUCCUAAGGUAGCGAAAUUCCUUGUCGGGUAAGUUCCGACCUGCACGAAUGGCGUAAUGAUGGCCAGGCUGUCUCCACCCGAGACUCAGUGAAAUUGAACUCGCUGUGAAGAUGCAGUGUACCCGCGGCAAGACGGAAAGACCCCGUGAACCUUUACUAUAGCUUGACACUGAACAUUGAGCCUUGAUGUGUAGGAUAGGUGGGAGGCUUAGAAGUGUGGACGCCAGUCUGCAUGGAGCCGACCUUGAAAUACCACCCUUUAAUGUUUGAUGUUCUAACGUGGACCCGUGAUCGGGGUUGCGGACCGUGUCUGGUGGGUAGUUUGACUGGGGCGGUCUCGUCCUACAGCGUAACGGCGGAGCACGACGACGGGCUCAUCCUGUGCGGACGUACGGAGGUUAGUGCA
Molecule: ribosomal RNA, 406 nt
Filed under: Staphylococcus cohnii
Lineage: Bacteria; Bacillati; Bacillota; Bacilli; Caryophanales; Staphylococcaceae
Description: bacterial LSU rRNA
Rfam family: Bacterial large subunit ribosomal RNA
Source: RNAcentral